UACGUAGGGCGCAAGCGUUGUCCGGAAUUAUUGGGCGUAAAGAGCUCGUAGGCGGUCUGUCGCGUCGGCUGUGAAAACCCGGGGCUCAACCCCGGGCCUGCAGUCGAUACGGGCAGACUAGAGUGCGGUAGGGGAGACUGGAAUUCCUGGUGUAGCGGUGAAAUGCGCAGAUAUCAGGAGGAACACCGGUGGCGAAGGCGGGUCUCUGGGCCGUAACUGACGCUAAGGAGCGAAAGCGUGGGGAGCGAACAGG
This 253-nucleotide ribosomal RNA is filed under the name uncultured bacterium. RNAcentral's name for it is "partial 16S ribosomal RNA". It matches the Rfam family "Bacterial small subunit ribosomal RNA", at positions 524 to 776 of the family's 1533-position model. The record is from RNAcentral.